Long non-coding RNA from Drosophila biarmipes, 586 nucleotides. RefSeq lists it as uncharacterized. The record is from RefSeq and is a predicted model, not a curated record. Lineage: Eukaryota; Metazoa; Arthropoda; Insecta; Diptera; Drosophilidae. The transcript is spliced from 3 exons.
GAAUAUAUCGGUGGGCCGGACUUUCACGACAUGUUUAACACGGUUGUGGGAAGCAACCGGACACAGGAGUCUACUGACAAGGGCUUUGAAUUAUUAACUUAGCAAUUUAAUAAUAAAUUAGUAUACUUCUUCUACUUCGUUCUGCCAUUAUUCGCACUGGCACGCCCUUUUUCCUACAAAAACUACGCAGGAGAUUCUUAACGGCUUCGAAACUGUACCACGAGACGCAGGAGAGGUGAGAGGAGAGAUUGCCCGCCAAGAAACUGCCAAAAUGGAACAAAUUUUCAAUAUAUUUGGACCUUAGAUGCCGUAUAAUGGAAAACAUAGAAUGCACCCUUAUUGCUACAUCAUUGACCUUGCCCUUUUGUACAAUAUGCGAGUCCAUGGAUAAUUAUUUGUCAAAAUGCCCAUAAGCAAUGGAGGUCUGGAAAGUGUAGAAACUGCAUCUUCUACACAUACAUACAUAAACACAAUAUGAAUCAUAUAGCAAUUUUUGGGCGCGAUUGCAUGAUGCAUGUAAAUAACACGGAAAAAGUCCAGUUUUAAAGCUCCAGAAAGCUUUCAAAGCUUCCACUUUUAAGCUCAC